GAUCUAGAUCAAAAUGAAGGUCGAGGCCCACUGGGGAACCAGAGCCCCGCUCCGGAGGAGGGCAGGCUCCUCUCCAGUUGCAAACGCCCCUAGAACCUGUCGCCCAGGCCUGUCCUCCAGGACGUGGCUGGAGUGCAGCAGCCGCGCUCAACUUCUCCCGCUAGCCCCCGGCUAGGACCCAUUUCCAAGGGGGAAUCCCCGGGAUGUCGUGGGGGGGAGGGGGAGCGGACACGGGGCGCGCGCGCCGGACACACACCCGCGCACACACACCUGGCUGGUGGCUGCACGGCGCGGGGUGGGCUGUAGCUCACCCUCUCCCGCAGGCCGCCCCCAACACCGCCACUCAGCCAGCGGUCCUGCCGCGGGGCACCCCUCCAGCCCUCCCCCUACUCCGGUCGCGCACAGCCGGCUCCCUCUAACCAGGCCAGAGAGAAACUCAACCUGGAACAGCUGCAGGACACCUCUGAAUCCUGUCCUCCGCCAGUUGGUGCAACCACCACUAGCCUUACCCCUGGACUGACCACUGGGUGUCCUUCCUCAUCUAAACAAGUGAGAGGUCCCCGUCACUAAGACCCAGUUCCAUUUCUCAGCCUACAUUUUGUCUCUGAGACUCGGAAGGGAAGGGGACAUUUGGGGGUGAGCCACGUGAUGUAACUCAUCCAGGACAGGUGAGAGGAAGAUGAAAGGAGAUGUUCUGCUGCCGGUUGAAACAUCAGUGACUAAGACCUGGGGAAUGGACCAGGAACAUUCUCACCUCUCAGUUGUGGGCUCCUGAAAGGGCACUGCCUCAUCCCAUCCUCCUGUCGUACGGGCUUCCAGCUUCACGUUCUCACGUCCUCAUAAUCCCAUCAGUAUGUUAUAGAAACCCAACUCAAGUCACUUAAGCAAAAGAGGAACUUUUGGCUCACCUUUGUGACUCAGCUCAGAGCAGCUGACAGAACUGCAUAAAGAGCUAUUAAAUAGGAAUCUGAAGCAACCUAGAUGCCCAUCAGCAGAUGAAUGGAUAAGGAAGCUGUGGUACAUAUACACAAUGGAAUAUUACUCAGCCAUGAAAAAGAAUUCAUUUGAACCAGUCCUAAUGAGAUGGAUGAAGCUGGAGCCCAUUAUACAGAGUGAAGUAAGCCAGAAAGAUAAAGAACAUUACAGCAUACUGACACAUGUAUAUGGAAUUUAGAAAGGUGAUAACGAUAACCCUAUAUGCAGAACAGAAAAAGAGACACAGAAAUACAGAACAGACUUUUGAACUUUGUGGGAGAAUGUGAGGGUGGGAUAUUUCAAAAGAACAGCAUGUAUACUAUCUAUGGUGAAACAGAUCACCAGCCCAGGUGGGAUG
This is a long non-coding RNA of Dama dama (fallow deer), 1333 nucleotides long. RefSeq lists it as uncharacterized. The transcript has 3 exons. NCBI's taxonomy places the organism in Eukaryota, Metazoa, Chordata, Mammalia, Artiodactyla, Cervidae. The record is from RefSeq and is a predicted model, not a curated record.